GCCUAAAGCGUCCGUAGCCUGUUCUAUAAGUUUCCGGUUAAAUCCAUUAGCUCAACUAAUGGGCCGCCGAAAAUACUGUAGAACUAGGGAGUGGGAGAGGUAGACGGUAUUCGGUAGGAAGGGGUAAAAUCCUUUGAUCUAUUGAGGACCACCUGUGGCGAAGGCGGUCUACCAGAACACGUUCGACGGUGAGGGAUGAAAGCUGGGGGAGCAAACCGGAUUAGAUACCCGGGUAGUCCCAGCCGUAAACGAUGCAGACUCGGUGAUGCGCUGGCUUGUGGCCAGUGCAGUGCCGCAGGGAAGCCGUUAAGUUUGCCGCCUGGGAAGUACGUACGCAAGUAUGAAACUUAAAGGAAUUGGCGGGGGAGCACCACAAGGGGUGAAGCCUGCGGUUCAAUUGGAGUCAACGCCAGAAAUCUUACCCGAAGAGACAGCAGAAUGAAGGUCAAGCUGGAGACUUUACCAGACAAGCUGAGAAGUGGUGCAUGGCCGUCGCCAGCUCGUGCCGUGAGAUGUCCUGUUAAGUCAGGUAACGAGCGAGAUCCCUGCCUCUAGUUGCCACCAUUACUCUCAGGAGUAGUGGGGCGAAUUAGCGGGACCGCCGCAGUUAAUGCGGAGGAAGGAAGGGGCCACGGCAGGUCAGUAUGCCCCGAA
RNAcentral lists this ribosomal RNA (654 nucleotides) under uncultured archaeon. Its description in RNAcentral is "bacterial SSU rRNA". It matches the Rfam family "Archaeal small subunit ribosomal RNA", at positions 508 to 1160 of the family's 1478-position model. The record is from RNAcentral.